Ribosomal RNA from Cricetulus griseus (Chinese hamster), 114 nucleotides. The record is from Ensembl. NCBI's taxonomy places the organism in Eukaryota, Metazoa, Chordata, Mammalia, Rodentia, Cricetidae.
UAUCUACACCAUAUCACCCUGAACACGCCCAAUCCUGUCUGAUCUCAGAAGCUAAGCAGGGUCGGGCCUGGUUAGUACUUAGAUAGGAAAAAUGUACACUGCUGAAUUAUAUAU